UACAGAGGGGGCAAGCGUUGUUCGGAAUUACUGGGCGUAAAGGGCGCGUAGGCGGCCUGUUAAGUCGAACGUGAAAUCCCCGGGCUCAACCCGGGAACUGCGUCCGAUACUGGCAGGCUUGAAUCCGGGAGAGGGAUGUGGAAUUCCAGGUGUAGCGGUGAAAUGCGUAGAUAUCUGGAGGAACACCGGUGGCGAAGGCGGGUCUCUGGGCCGAUACUGACGCUGAGGAGCGAAAGCGUGGGGAGCGAACAGG
Molecule: ribosomal RNA, 253 nt
Filed under: uncultured bacterium
Lineage: Bacteria
Description: partial 16S ribosomal RNA
Rfam family: Bacterial small subunit ribosomal RNA
Source: RNAcentral